GGCGGAGUCUACUUGCGGUUGAAGUUGUCGGCGGAGUCCGGCUCCCGUAGGAGUCCGGACGAAGUCUGUCUGCAGCCGUUGGAGUCGAGGACGAAGCCCGGCUCCCGUAGGAGUCCGGGCGAAGUCUUCCUGCAAUUAAAGUCAAAGGCGAAGUUCGGCUCCCGUAGGAGUCCGGACAAGGCUUACCGGCAGUUGAUGUUGAGGACGGAGCCCGGCUCCCGUAGGAGUUCGGGCGGAGUCUAC
RNAcentral lists this long non-coding RNA (243 nucleotides) under Elaeis guineensis (African oil palm). Its description in RNAcentral is "long non-coding RNA (EGUI_LNC012795)". The record is from RNAcentral. Lineage: Eukaryota; Viridiplantae; Streptophyta; Magnoliopsida; Arecales; Arecaceae.